RNAcentral lists this transfer RNA (69 nucleotides) under Nothobranchius thierryi (Togo killifish). RNAcentral's name for it is "tRNA-Gly". It matches the Rfam family "tRNA". Rfam says of the family: Transfer RNA (tRNA) molecules are approximately 80 nucleotides in length. Their secondary structure includes four short double-helical elements and three loops (D, anti-codon, and T loops). Lineage: Eukaryota; Metazoa; Chordata; Actinopteri; Cyprinodontiformes; Nothobranchiidae. The record is from RNAcentral.
AUCUUUCUAGUAUAAACAAUACUAGUGACUUCCAAUCACUUAAUCUUGGUUAAAACCCAAGGAAAGUUA